RNAcentral lists this ribosomal RNA (233 nucleotides) under uncultured bacterium. Its description in RNAcentral is "partial 16S ribosomal RNA". It matches the Rfam family "Bacterial small subunit ribosomal RNA", at positions 118 to 347 of the family's 1533-position model. The record is from RNAcentral.
UGAGUAACCUGCCCUUCACUCUGGGAUAACUCCGGGAAACCGGGCUAAUACUGGAUUAUGACUCGAACAGGCAUCUGUUUCGGGUGGAAAGAUUUUAUUGGUGGAGGAUGGACUCGCGGCCUAUCGGCUUGUUGGUGAGGUAAUGGCUCACCAAGGCGACGACGGGUAGCCGGCCUGAGAGGGCGAUCGGCCACACUGGGACUGAGACACGGCCCAGACCUCCUACGGGAGCA